This 46-nucleotide non-coding RNA is filed under the name Trichobilharzia regenti. Lineage: Eukaryota; Metazoa; Platyhelminthes; Trematoda; Strigeidida; Schistosomatidae. The record is from RNAcentral.
GUACUGCUGAAGAGUCCCAAACUAGGACGAAACAGUCGUCCAGUAC